AGUUAUAGUUUGUUUGAUGGUACGUGCUACUCGGAUAACCGUAGUAAUUCUAGAGAUAAUACGUGUAACAAACCACGACUUCUGGGAGGGGCGCAUUUAUUAGAUAAAACACUGACGCGGGCUCUGCUCGCUCAUCCGGUGAUUCAUGUUAACUCGACGGAUCGCACGGCCCCACAACGACGAAGCACACCAACCGGACU
This 200-nucleotide ribosomal RNA is filed under the name Aegilops tauschii subsp. strangulata. RNAcentral's name for it is "rRNA SSU_rRNA_eukarya". It matches the Rfam family "Eukaryotic small subunit ribosomal RNA", at positions 108 to 305 of the family's 1831-position model. Lineage: Eukaryota; Viridiplantae; Streptophyta; Magnoliopsida; Poales; Poaceae. The record is from Rfam by way of RNAcentral.